This 1461-nucleotide long non-coding RNA is filed under the name Malus domestica (apple). Its description in RNAcentral is "long non-coding RNA (MDOM_LNC013828)". The record is from RNAcentral. Lineage: Eukaryota; Viridiplantae; Streptophyta; Magnoliopsida; Rosales; Rosaceae.
GGUUUUAGGUGGUAUUUGUAUGGGGGAAUGGAUAUGGAAUGGUAUGAGAGUGGUUAGGGUGGAUGAUAGGUGCGGCAAGGGUUUGUUUCUGGCAGAAAUUAGGGAGAAUGGUGAUGGAAGGCUGCGACAGAGAGUGGGGAUGAUUUCUGGCGUGAUUUAUGUAUUAUGAUGGGCGGUGGUUUGGCUAGGGCUGAGAUAUGAGUACAUAUAGGCACCUAAAAGCCUAGGGUAAUCAGAUAUGGACUUGGAUAACCCAAAUCCACAAGGAAAAAGGCUUUAGAAAUCAGAAUCCACAAGGAAAAAGGCCUAGGGGGUGUGGCAGGUUUGGAUAGGGUAAGAUAAGGCUUCUAGAAAGCCUUGCAAGGCAAGGAAAAGGGUUAUAGAAAGGGGUAAGUGCGGCAAGGGUUAGGGGAAAAAGGAUAGGGCUUCUAGAAACCCAAAACCAAGAGGAAAUAGACCCUAACCCACGACAAGGAUAAGGAAAUGCUCUCCAACCUUUGUUUGUGUCUUCCAACGCUUAAGAACCUUCUAAUGUUGCUGAAACUUAAAGCCAUUUAGGUUUAGGAAAGAUCAACCCAAAAUAGCAACUUUUAGGCUUAACUUUCCUACUUCAAGUAGGAAACCUUGUUUGAGUAGGAAUCUUCAUUCUUCUAGGAAUCCAUCUUCAACUAGGAAUCCCUUGUUAAUUAGGAAUCCUUCUUCAAUUAGGACUCCUUCUUGGACUAGGAAUCCUCAAAUCUUCAAACUUCAAUUUCGUCCAAACCUUUUAUUCCAAGCAUGUGCUUAUUCAAUCCAAGCUCACUUUUGCUCCAAAAAGCUCCAAUUUGCAACUUUUUGUAUAAUAUUCCCUUAAAACCUGAAAACACAUAGAAAUAGCUUAAAAGACUACUUUAACUAAGAAAACAUAAUGAAAAUGCAUAAGAACUAGCUAACUAAGGCGCAUAAAUAUGCUCCUAUCAAAUUCCCCCACACUUAGCUUUUGCUAGUCCUCGAGCAAAACAAAGAAUCAAAGAAAAACAAAACGAAACAAAACAAACAAACAAAACCCAAACCUUCCAACGUUUACCUUAGGGAUUUCCAAUGCACAUGACAUAUUAAAAAUCAUCAUUCCCACAGAUUUUAGUCAUCUUCACACUUAAGCACAUACUUAAGCAUAGUCACUAUUUACUAGUUCACAUUUAACCAAUUAAAACGAUGUUUUGAAUGUAGUAACAUGGCUUAGAGAAUUUGCUCAAUUCCUUACAAGAAAUGCACUCAAUUUUCACUCAGAUUUUCUAACUACACACCUUAUACUAGUUAUAUGUGAGAAGAUUGAUGUAGACAUAAAAACGAACGCUCACAUAUAUAUAUAUAUAUAUAUAACAAAGAAAGCAUUUUCUGGAGUUAAUAAGCAUUUAUAUAUGAUCUCAUGAAUGGAAUGCUACUACUUAGAUGCGAGAACCAGUGACACCAUAUGCUCAU